UUGAACGCUGGCGGCAUGCUUUACACAUGCAAGUCGAACGCGAAAGGGGGCAACCCUGAGUAGAGUGGCGAACGGGUGAGUAAUGCAUCGGAACGUGUCCUGUAGUGGGGGACAACCUCGAGAAAUCGAGGCUAAUACCCCAUACGUCCUACGGGAGAAAGUGGGGGACCGCAAGGCCUCACGCUAUAGGAGCGGCCGAUGCCGGAUUAGCUAGUUGGUGGGGUAAAGGCUCACCAAGGCGACGAUCCGUAGCUGGUCUGAGAGGAUGAUCAGCCACACUGGGACUGAGACACGGCCCAGACUCCUACGGGAGGCAGCAGUGGGGAAUUUUGGACAAUGGGCGAAAGCCUGAUCCAGCCAUGCCGCGUGAGUGAAGAAGGCCUUCGGGUUGUAAAGCUCUUUCGGCCGGGACGAAAUCGCUCUCGACAAUACCGGGAGUGGAUGACGGUACCGGAAGAAGAAGCACCGGCUAACUACGU
RNAcentral lists this ribosomal RNA (479 nucleotides) under uncultured bacterium. Its description in RNAcentral is "bacterial SSU rRNA". It matches the Rfam family "Bacterial small subunit ribosomal RNA", at positions 29 to 506 of the family's 1533-position model. The record is from RNAcentral.